Molecule: ribosomal RNA, 500 nt
Filed under: uncultured bacterium
Lineage: Bacteria
Description: partial 16S ribosomal RNA
Rfam family: Bacterial small subunit ribosomal RNA
Source: RNAcentral
AUUGAACGCUGGCGGCAUGCCUUACACAUGCAAGUCGAACGGCAGCACGGGAGCAAUCCUGGUGGCGAGUGGCGAACGGGUGAGUAAUGUAUCGGAACGUGCCCAGUCGUGGGGGAUAACGUAGCGAAAGCUACGCUAAUACCGCAUACGAUCUAUGGAUGAAAGCGGGGGAUCGCAAGACCUCGCGCGAUUGGAGCGGCCAAUAUCGGAUUAGGUAGUGGGUGGGGUAAAGGCCCACCAAGCCUGCGAUCUGUAGCUGGUCUGAGAGGACGACCAGCCACACUGGAACUGAGACACGGUCCAGACUCCUACGGGAGGCAGCAGUGGGGAAUUUUGGACAAUGGGCGCAAGCCUGAUCCAGCAAUGCCGCGUGCAGGAUGAAGGUCUUCGGGUUGUAAACUGCUUUUGUACGGAACGAAACGGCUUUUUCUAAUACAGAGAGCUAAUGACGGUACCGUAAGAAUAAGCACCGGCUAACUACGUGCCAGCAGCCGCCGUAA